This 253-nucleotide ribosomal RNA is filed under the name uncultured bacterium. RNAcentral's name for it is "partial 16S ribosomal RNA". It matches the Rfam family "Bacterial small subunit ribosomal RNA", at positions 524 to 776 of the family's 1533-position model. The record is from RNAcentral.
UACGGAGGGUGCGAGCGUUGUCCGGAAUCACUGGGCGUAAAGGGCGCGUAGGCGGCCCGUUAAGUGGCUUGUGAAAUCCCGCGGCUCAACUGCGGAGCUGCCGGGCAUACUGGCGAGCUAGAGCACGGUAGGGGCAGAUGGAAUUCCCGGUGUAGCGGUGGAAUGCGUAGAGAUCGGGAAGAAUACCAGUGGCGAAGGCGUUCUGCUGGGCCGUUGCUGACACUGAGGCGCGACAGCGUGGGGAGCAAACAGG